AUCGCUUCUCGGUUUUUAUGGCUAAGAUCAAGUGUAGUAUCUGUUCUUAUCAGUUUAAUAUCUGAUAUGUUCUCUACCCGAGAACAACGUAUUAAGCGGGUUUUUAGAGCAGGGAGUUGGAAUAUGAAGCUUGCUCCGUUCUCUCCAUGCAUCCACCUGAUAAUGCAGUAUUUCCAGGAACGGUGCAUUUUCU
Small nuclear RNA from Hippopotamus amphibius kiboko, 193 nucleotides. RefSeq annotates it as U2 spliceosomal RNA. The record is from RefSeq and is a predicted model, not a curated record. NCBI's taxonomy places the organism in Eukaryota, Metazoa, Chordata, Mammalia, Artiodactyla, Hippopotamidae. The transcript has a single exon.